UACGUAGGGUGCGAGCGUUAAUCGGAAUUACUGGGCGUAAAGCGUGCGCAGGCGGUUCGCUAAGACAGAUGUGAAAUCCCCGGGCUCAACCUGGGAACUGCGUUUGUGACUGGCGGGCUGGAGUGCGGAAGAGGGAGGUGGAAUUCCACGUGUGGCAGUGAAAUGCGUAGAGAUGUGGGGGAACACCGAUGGCGAAGGCAGCCUCCUGGUCUAGCACUGACGCUCAUGCACGAAAGCGUGGGGAGCAAACAGG
Molecule: ribosomal RNA, 253 nt
Filed under: uncultured bacterium
Lineage: Bacteria
Description: partial 16S ribosomal RNA
Rfam family: Bacterial small subunit ribosomal RNA
Source: RNAcentral